This 356-nucleotide unclassified non-coding RNA is filed under the name Hevea brasiliensis (rubber tree). Lineage: Eukaryota; Viridiplantae; Streptophyta; Magnoliopsida; Malpighiales; Euphorbiaceae. The record is from RNAcentral.
GGGAAAUGUUAGUGAGUCCGGAUUUGGGUUCUAGUGCGGUCCAUUUUGGAGCAGGGAAGUGUAGCGAGUGGGUUUUGGGGAAGAAAGCGGCGUAAAGGACGAGCGAGAUUGAGGAGGCGAGGCAGAAGAGGAUGAAAAUUCUCGCGAGAAUCGCGAAGAUCUCGCACGGUUUAUCGGGAAGAGGGAUUGAUUUUAGCUUUUUGACCGGAUUGUGACUCGUUUGCAAACGAGUCAAACUCAUUUCCAUAUUGUGUUGAAAAAAAGGAGCUGCCGUGGAGUUCUUAAUUAAUAAAACAGCCUCUGAUCACCAGAUAACUUUUCAUAUACACCCUGAUCGGAAAAAUUUUGUAGAACAC